GGCUACAGGACGAACGCUGGCGGCGUGCUUAACACAUGCAAGUCGAGCGAUGAAGCUUCUUCGGAAGUGGAUUAGCGGCGGACGGGUGAGUAACACGUGGGUAACCUGCCUCAUAGAGGGGAAUAGCCUUCCGAAAGGAAGAUUAAUACCGCAUAAGAUUGUAAUAUCGCAUGAUAUAGCAAUUAAAGGAGUAAUCCGCUAUGAGAUGGACCCGCGUCGCAUUAGCUAGUUGGUGAGGUAACGGCUCACCAAGGCGACGAUGCGUAGCCGACCUGAGAGGGUGAUCGGCCACAUUGGGACUGAGACACGGCCCAGACUCCUACGGGAGGCAGCAGUGGGGAAUAUUGCACAAUGGGGGAAACCCUGAUGCAAGCAACGCCGCGUGAGUGAUGACGGUCUUCGGAUUGUAAAGCUCUGUCUUCAGGGACGAUAAUGACGGUACCUGAGGAGGAAGCCACGGCUAACUACGUGCCAGCCGCCGC
This 482-nucleotide ribosomal RNA is filed under the name uncultured bacterium. RNAcentral's name for it is "bacterial SSU rRNA". It matches the Rfam family "Bacterial small subunit ribosomal RNA", at positions 26 to 518 of the family's 1533-position model. The record is from RNAcentral.